Molecule: ribosomal RNA, 279 nt
Filed under: Triticum aestivum (bread wheat)
Lineage: Eukaryota; Viridiplantae; Streptophyta; Magnoliopsida; Poales; Poaceae
Description: partial small subunit ribosomal RNA
Source: RNAcentral
AUGAAACCUAAUAAGCCACCAGGCCCUGAUAAUAUUCCUAUUGAAUUCUUUCAAUACUGUUGGGAGAUUGUUAAGGUUGAUAUAAUGAAGUUAUUUUAGUGGUUUCAUGAAAAUAAACUUGACAUGCAACGUUUCAAUUAUGGGAUCAUAACCCUUUUGCCAAAAAUGGUUGGAGCUAAUAAGGUACAACAAUUUAGGCUGAUAUGUCUUUUGCGUUGCAUUUACAAGCUUAUUACAAAGGUUCAUUGUAGGAUCGAAAGUAUGUCUAGAGGGGGGUGA